GUGCUCCCCCGCCAAUUCCUUUAAGUUUCAGCCUUGCGACCGUACUUCCCAGGCGGCGCGUUUCACGAUUUCUCUUCGGCACCUCGGUAACUCGUGGUCACCGAUACACCUAACGCGCAUCGUUUACAGCUGGGACUACCCGGGUAUCUAAUCCGGUCUGCUCCCCCAGCUUUCGUUCCUCACUGUCGGAGCCGUCCUGGUGAGACGCCUUCGCCACAGGUGGUCCCCCAAGGAUUACAGGAUUUCACUCCUACCCCUGGAGUACCUCUCACCUCUUCCGGUCCCUAGUCUGCCAGUAUCCCUGAGACGCCUUCCGGUUAAGCCGGAAGAUUUCCCCAGAGACUUAACAGACCAGCUACGAACGCUUUAAGCCCAGUAAUAGUGGCCACCACUCGAGCCGCCAGUAUUACCGCGGCGGCUGGCACCGGUCUUGCCCGGCCCUUUCUUCACCAGUUAUUUACACUGGCGGACAGCCUGAUUUUACAGGCACUCGGAGUUCCCUUAUCACGAUUGCUCGCAUUGUAAAGUUUUCGCGCCUGCUGCACCCCGU
RNAcentral lists this ribosomal RNA (550 nucleotides) under uncultured archaeon. RNAcentral's name for it is "partial 16S ribosomal RNA". The record is from RNAcentral.